AAAGCAUCGCGAAGGCCUUGGUGUUGUGACCUCAGGCCUCUCUACAGGGCCCACGUGAGGCCCUCAGCCCGGGCCAGGCCUCUCCCGGCCUCACUCAGGUUUCCAAAGCCGGAGCUUUGCAUGGCUCCGAGCUUGCAAGCAAGCGUUUCUCAAAAUGCAAAAUGCAAAAUGCAAAAAAAAAAAAAAAAAAAAAAAAAAAAAAAAAAAGAAAAAGAACUUGUUGAUGUUUAAGGUAUUUAUGAGGAAAUAUCAGUCUCAGGAAAGGAGAGGCUAGUUCCCAGGAAGGAACACGGGGUUCAGCGGGGCCUGCUUCACCUCAGCACAAAGGAGAGGAGGGGCCGCGGCUCUCCAGCAGCGCGCGGCACAAAGAGGGCUCAGAGCCGUGUUAAUGCCAGAGAAUGGUGUCCGGGGACAGCAGGCGGACAGGAACCGGCCAGGAGAGAGUGGCUUAUCGCACUUUAAUAUCAACAAUCAAGACACAAAGGACUGGAAAGGAAUUUUCCCUUACCCUCGUGAAAUCUUGGGCAGAGAAGGAAAAAAAAAAGUAGCUUGAAUGUAAGUGUGACAGAUGGCAGCAGAGGGGCAGUCUGACAAACUGGUGUCUGACAUGGAAGUGCAUGAAGCAGAAGUGUGUCACUAAACUCCUCCAUGUGGAAGAAAAAUGGCACCCACUGACACACAUCAAUGCUUGCUGAAUGUUUCUGGAGACCAAACAGAGGAUGUGAGCACAAUGAAGUGGUGGUGGGUGGUGUGUUUCAGCAGUGAUGACAGCGACGUGAAAGACAAGCCAUGUUCCAAGCAGCCAUGCACAGCUAUCACACCACAAAAUGCAGAGUGUCUUGAUCAGCUCAUCUAUUUGAAUCAGCAGAUUAUGACCAAGGAACUGUGUAUGGAGCUGAAUAUCAGCUUCAAUGUGUUGGAAAUGAUGGUGGCAGUGUUGGAAUAUUGCAAGGUUUGUGCCAAGUGAAUUCCAUGAAUGCUUACACAGGAUCUGAAAGAACAACAUAUACAAAUUUGUCAGGACCUAUUGAAGCAACCUAAAGCUGAAGGUGACGGUUUCCCAGAACACAUCAUUACCGGUGGCAAGAUGUGGUGUCACCACUACCAGCUGGAGUUCAACCAACCAUCCAUGAAGUGAUGACAUGCGGAUUCCUCAUCAAAGAAAAAGUUCAAGACACAGCCCUCAGCAGGUAAAGUGAUGUGCAUUUUUGAGAUAGGAAAAGGGUGAUCCUUCUGGAUUUCCUGGAAUCUGGACAAACCAUGAACUUUGACCGCUACAUAAUGAUGCUGACUAAGCUGAAGGUUCAAACUUCUAGAGACAGGUAGCAGUGGAGAACAUGCUACAAGUAGUCUGCUUAAGCAUGAAGAACUGAUUUGAAACAACAGCAAAAAUACUGCAAAAUCCUAUAUGAAAAAUAAAAUAAAUAUGCAAAAGUAAGAAAUACAUUACUACUAGUACUACUUGAUACUACCUAGUAGUAGUACUAGGUUAGUACUACUACAUACUACUACUUGACUGUUGGCUUUCCCCAGCUAAACAGCUUCUAUUAACCUCCCCUGCUGAUGUCUGGACACAUUUCUUAUGCAAAUGACUAAGGCAGAUCAGCACAUAUCAGUUUUGUAAUGACUUUAUCUUAACCUGUCAUAUCUUUGUGAAAUAAUGUUGGUGUCCUAGUGUCUCAGUUCCUAUAAGCCUUUGGAUGUAUUUGUCUUUGAGAGAGUGUUGAUAUAAACUAAUAUUGAAGUAUCUGUUAAACUAACAUACAUUCAUUAACAUGUAGCAUUAGAGCUGUUCUGCAAAUCUCUAAUUGCAUUACUGUUUUAUGUCCUAAGUGCUUACUCAACUAUGAAUAUAUAAACUCUAGUCUGUAAGGACUGUCAUCAAGAUGCUAUCAAAGCAAAAAAAGUAUGUGUUCCACUCAGUCCAAAGUCUGAUCUAUAUCACUGCUUUCUGAGCUAUUGAGUUCACUGUGACACUGACAGAAGGGCUGCCAUUGUGCAAGAAGGAAAGCACAUCUUUGCAUGUCUUUAAAGCCUCUGGGGCUCUUUCCCACUAUUUGCCAUACUGAGACUUUCCUAGGUUUGGGUUAGGCCUCAAGUCAGCAGAAAUGUUCUGUAGGUAAAUGGGUGUAGGCCUAGAAAGAAAAAAGCUUUUUCCUGGGCUGCACAUUCAUGGGGCAGGAGGAGUCUAUUGCUAGGUAGGGUUCUGUUCUGCUUAGCUCCACCAUAAUUUAUGUUUGCACCUGUAACACCAUGCCAGUGUCUAUGGGCCCUUUCCUAUCUGGAGUGUUUUCCUGAAGAUUGUGCUUGUGGCCUCCCCACUCAUCAGCAAGUCAAUCUAUGUUUAAAAAAUCAUCAAAAACAGUAGAUUAAAAGCAGCACCAAGUCACCCAAUGACUGCCUCUCUCAGAAAAGCUCACUACUCGUGCAGCUACCCCUAGAACAUAGCUCACUGCAGCACAUGUGGAAAUUUGCUGUUCUAGAAACUCCAGUAGAGCACCUGUUUUUCCUUUCUGUGAAAGUAUGAAGGAUCAUUUACUCUACUGCUUUCUCCUAUACAAGUGAUACGGGUUUUCUCAACAUCAUAGAAAUGACCAGAGUGUUUCCUUCUUCCCCAGUCCUGCAGCCAGGCAAACACAGACAAUACAAAUGCUAUCAUCCUGGUAUGUGUCAGCUAUUUCCAGUUCUCCAGUGCCCACUCACAAUACAAGUUCAGGGUGAUAAAGUGACUUACUUUAACGAGUAACGUGUUUUGUUCAGCAUGACUUUGCAGCAGCUCAAGAAACUACUCACAAGAUGGCUGUGUAGCAUUCUCUUCUGCAACAUGGGCUUUAGCAGCCCCACUCACUGCCUUCUGAUGGUCUCGUAAGAGAGGGGAACCCUCAAGGGAGUGAGGCAAAUCUGAGAGCAAAAGUCCCUACACGAAGGGGUGCCUCACUGUCACAAAAACCAAAAAGCACAAAGAUUUGCACUGAUUUGGGAUUUCCAUAAAAUAGAAAGAAUCCACUAUUGGACUGGUCCCAGCUAAGUCACUCUUUUGCUGUGGUCCCUUAGGCCUUUCUGCUUUUUCCCAUUCCAAACUUAGUGGAGCUAUUUUUUUAAGUAAUGAAAGUAAGGGAGAGAACCACAGUGUGCUCAAAGGAAAGGUCUGCAGCUCAGCCAUUGGGGAGUCAUGUGUAUCCUUCUUUCCACUCCAUUUUCACUUUAAGGAGCAAUUAUAUAAUAAAUUACAGUAUUAUAUUGGGAAAUAAAGAAGUAAUUCAUUCUUGCUGCUCUAUCACAACACUUGGGACAAUGAGAAGAUUUAUCUCUGUAUAAUAUCAUCAUUUGGUUGUCAUAUGCCAGCUGCAUAGCUAAGCCUUGGUAGCUUUCUAAGUACAGAGAGAGGAAAGCAGUUAUACCACCACAGUGCAUUAUUUUCUGAUGGAUAAAUCAGCAAGUCAAUACUCAAAAUAAAUUCUUUGAAGACCCAAUAGCUAACAGCACACUCUAGAGAACAAGCAGUAAAAACAGUGAAGUUGUAGGGCUGGUAAGCUGGCUGGAGGCACGUGGCUUCUUAUAAACAGGAAUCCAAAACAGCUGUUUGUAAAGCCUCUAUCACAUAGAAGAACAUCCUCCAGAAAACUGACAGCAUACAAAUCCUGAAAGUAAGCAUUUCUUUCUUGAUUACUAAAAAUUAAGAAGCUUGAACUCUUGGUUUAAAGUAUUAAAAGUAUUCAGUGAUUUCCCUUUUUUUUUUUUUUUUCAUUAUUCAGACAGUGGAAGGGUUCAUAAAGUAACUUAAUUAGACCAUAGCUCCAAUGGGAGCCCCCUUUAACAUGUCUAUAGAGGUUCUUUAAAUACUGUAAUCCACCCUGAAUAAAAGGUGAAACUAGGAAUGAUAUUUUCAAAGAAAGAACUACAAAGAGCAUUUAUCUUUCUCUUUUUAGUUUUCUGUCUUUGCGAUCUAGAUAUCAAGCUUCCAUUACAUUCUAAGGAUGACUUUUUUCUAGGUUAGCUCUCACAAGCUUUGCUUUUUAUAUACCCUAAUUUAAAACUUAUAUAAAAAAAAAAAAGUCAAAGUGAAAAAUCCAUUACUAAACCACAUUCAAACUGGUAUUCUAGUAUUACAGUAAUAAAUGGAUGCUGUUGUACAGAGUAUUCUGUUUCAGCUUUUAGCAAAUAUCUUUUAUUUUUGAAAUCCCAUUGUCAUUCGUUUCCUGCUUCAUCCAGUCCUAUAGGAGGAGACCUCACACCUACAAGCUGCUGCUGAUAAUGCCCUAGCUAGUGUGGGAAAUACUGAUGUUGAACAGAGCCUCUGUAAAUCACUUUUUGUUUUCUUCAAUGGCCUUCUCUGUGAAUUUCCACCACUCUGAGGCAAGUCCCUGGUACUCCAAAUGUUCUUGGUCUUCCGUUCUUAAGUAAAUUGAUUUGUUUCUAGAGAUUAUUGGGUGUGUGAAUAUUCUGCACUUGAAAGGUUUCCAGAAUGCUUUGUGCAGCUUUUUACUUUAAGGCUAACAAACAGUAUGAGGAAAUUAUGUUUGUCUUUAGACAUUCAAAUAUAAUCGUCUCUCUUAGACACGUAACUCCAUUAACUUCGGUGGGAUUACUUGAGUAAGCAGAAUGAGAACUCUGAGUCCGAUGUUUUUGUGUUGCAGUAACCAUUAACUGUACACUAUUGGAUGGUUAUCAAACUUUCAAAACUAGAUGGGGAACUUGGCACCAAAGCCUCCUAGAAUCUCCAGUCUGGCAGAGUGUCUAGCAUAUGCCAGUACACUGGGAGGGCUCUCUUCAUCGCCCUCCUGGAAGGGAGAUAUGUUGACCUGCAUGCGAUCAUGAAAGCAACCCCAAACCAUGAAACCUGAAAGCUCAAACAGGUAGAUGGAAAUGUUUCCUCUAAGGUCUAUUUUUAAGCUGAUGCAACUGCGCUUUGCCUUAACAUUUAGUAAAUGUACAGGGCUGUGCUCAACAAACGGCAGGCUGACAGACUUCAAGGAAUUUUAGUCUGACAAAGAAAAAUCAAGAUCAUGAUUUUAUAUUUAUAUUGCACUGGCAUUCUUUAGAAAUGUGAAAUCUCUCUGCAAUGUCUGUAAGGGGAGCAGAGUUAAUAAGCUAAAAAUGUUUUUAAUGUCUAACUGCUAUAGAUUAAUUUUCCUGGAGGUAGGAAUUAUUUAUAGACCUUCAGCACAGCUCUCCUAAAUCAGGAGAGAAGCAGAAGGUGUUUUGAGAAGGUGCAGUAUAGCAGAGUGUGAAAAAUGCACAAUGAUCGUUGUUCUUUAAGCAAUCAUCUUUCAGUACAAAUUUAUUCAAUUUUUUUUUUUAUUAUCAUGGGAAGAAAGUAAAGAAAAUAAUUAAAAUGAUCAAAGAAAAACAUGGAUGGAGUAAUCUAGAGUGAGAGCACUUCAAGUGAAGAAGCUCUUGAUACUUGACUUAACCCUUACACUUCUUUCUUGUGCCUCAUUACUUCUCAUGCCACUCGUGUUCAAUAGGUUACAACUGAACAUAUUUGUUUCUAACUGUAAUAAUGUUCUGAAGUUAUAUCUUCACUCUGCAAACUUCUGGGUGCUUUAGAAAUAUUAUCCAAAAUGUUUUUUGCUCACUUAUGCCACUGAGGCAACUACUUCAUUGCAUGCAUUUGGAUUCAAGUGCUUUAAAAAAAAAACACAAGAUGGCAGAAAGGCAUACACACUUUGAGCAGUGACUCUGUUAACUGAAAUUAUCUUAUAAAAGCAAAAUACCAGUAAUAGAUAUAUUUAUUACAAUAUGAUAUGUAGGCUUGAAAGAAAUAGAUUAAAUGAUAGUAGGGUAAUUGGUUGAUUUUUCUGAUGCAUAAAGCUUUUAUGGUAAAAAGAAAAGCAUUUUAAGACAGAUAUUAUGCUAAAAAUGUAAAAAGACGAAAGCACAGCAGCAUGCUUAUUUCAAAUCUGUUACAUAUUGUGCUCCCAUAGAGGGCAAUAUUGUAUAAAAGAUAGGUUUAAGCUACAUAUUAGAGAUCUGCCAAUUCAUCUGUGUUGAUAUACUUUAAGGAAAAUUGCUGUUACGAUAAAUUUGAUGCCGCAUUUCCCUUUAGUCAGGCUAUGACUAAUACACAUAAUAAUGCACACAAAACCACAUAACAGAACCUCGUUAAAGAUGAAGGAAAUUAAUUUUGUAGAUUACCAAAUUGUAGGUUGUAAAGUAUAAACUAUCACAUUUUGGCUCACAUUUUCUGUUCAGUAACUGAGUCACAGUAAUACUCUCUUAAAGUUGAUUGAGCAUAUCCGUAAGAAAAUGCACCUAAGUUUGUGAAGUCAGUUCUGGGUACAGCCUUUGUCUAUAGAUGUGUCUGGAAUAUUCUGAAAUCAUCCACAUUUCUGUACUGCUUCUCGUAUACUUUUUCCUGUGAAAUGCACGUGUGAAUAUACCAUCAUGUUUUAAUUUACUCUUGUACUUUUCUGCUUUUCACAUGUUGUCAACAUGGCACCCUGGACUUCAUUUCUUCUCAGGCUCUUCAACAGAUAAAGCAUAGAAAGAACUAUGCCCCUUUAAAAUAACAUCAUAUAUUUACUUUUUAUCCUAACCUUAUUUACCUGCUUCCUUAGAGCUACUGAGUUGUGUCAAUAAGUUAUUCACAGUGUCAGUUCUGGCUUUAAUUUCAUGGAUAGUGAUCAUAGAAUCACAGACUCACAGAAUCAUAGAAUGGCCUGGGUUGAAAAGGACCACAAUGAUCAUUGAGUUUCAACCCCCCUGCUGUGUGCAGGGUCACCAACC
Long non-coding RNA from Gallus gallus (chicken), 6729 nucleotides. RefSeq lists it as uncharacterized. Lineage: Eukaryota; Metazoa; Chordata; Aves; Galliformes; Phasianidae. The record is from RefSeq and is a predicted model, not a curated record. The transcript is spliced from 4 exons.